AUUGAACGCUGGCGGCAUGCUUUACACAUGCAAGUCGAACGGCAGCGCGGGCUUCGGCCUGGCGGCGAGUGGCGAACGGGUGAGUAAUACAUCGGAACGUGCCCAGUAGUGGGGGAUAGCUCGGCGAAAGCCGGAUUAAUACCGCAUACGACCUGAGGGUGAAAGCGGGGGAUCUUCGGACCUCGCGCUAUUGGAGCGGCCGAUGGCAGAUUAGCUAGUUGGUGGGGUAAAGGCCUACCAAGGCGACGAUCUGUAGCUGGUCUGAGAGGACGACCAGCCACACGGAGACUGAGACACGGCCCAGACUCAUACGAGGGGCAGCAGUGGGGAAUUUUGGACAAGGGGCGAAAGCCUGAUCGAGCAAUGCCGCGUGUGAUGAAGGCCUUCGGGUUGUAAAGCACUUUUGGCGGGAACGAAAAGGACUGUGCCAAUACCACGGUUCGAUGACGGUACCCGCAGAAUAAGCACCGGCUAACUACGUG
This 482-nucleotide ribosomal RNA is filed under the name uncultured bacterium. RNAcentral describes it as "partial 16S ribosomal RNA". It matches the Rfam family "Bacterial small subunit ribosomal RNA", at positions 29 to 507 of the family's 1533-position model. The record is from RNAcentral.